CACACAAGUCGCUCACGCUGAGCAUGCAGUGGCGGGAGGGCGACCUCGGCUUCUACUGCAACCGCACGCUCCUGCACCGCGCCUCGGCGAGCACGCAGCGGCGAGAGAGCCACGGCGAG
RNAcentral lists this non-coding RNA (119 nucleotides) under Emiliania huxleyi. Lineage: Eukaryota; Haptophyta; Isochrysidales; Noelaerhabdaceae. The record is from RNAcentral.